CCUACGGGUGGCAGCAGUGGGGAAUAUUGCACAAUGGGGGAAACACUGAUCCAGCGACGCCGCGUGAGUGAAGAAGGAUUUCGGUAUGUAAAGCUCUAUUUGCAGGGAAGAAAAUGACAGUACCUGACCAAGAAGCCCCGGCUAACUACGUGCCAGCAGCCGCGGUAAUACGCAGGGGGCAGGCGUUAUCCGGAUUUACCGGGGGUAAAGGGAGCGUAGUCGGUUCUGUAGGACUGGAGGUAAAGCCCGGGGCCCAACCCCGGGACGGCUUUUGAUACUGUGUAACGGGAGUACAGGAGGGGCAGGCGGAAUUCCUGGUGUAGCGGUGAAAUGCGUAGAUAUCAGGAGGAACACCGGCGGCGAAGGCGGCCUGCUGGACUGAAACUGACGUUGAGGCUCGAAAGCGUGGGGAGCAAACAGGAUUAGAUACCCGGGUAGUC
Molecule: ribosomal RNA, 440 nt
Filed under: uncultured bacterium
Lineage: Bacteria
Description: partial 16S ribosomal RNA
Rfam family: Bacterial small subunit ribosomal RNA
Source: RNAcentral